RNAcentral lists this small RNA (29 nucleotides) under Bombyx mori (domestic silkworm). Its description in RNAcentral is "ovarian small RNA-5432". The record is from RNAcentral. Lineage: Eukaryota; Metazoa; Arthropoda; Insecta; Lepidoptera; Bombycidae.
GGAGACCGGGGUUCGAUUCCCCGCCGGAG